AGCUCCAAUAGCAUAUAUUAAAGUUGUUGCAGUUAAAAAGCUCGUAGUUGAAUUUCUGUUUGUUACGCGUUCGAAGCCAUUUGGCGACGAGCGAGUGCAAGCAUUCUUCUACUCCUGGGGUAACUCAGUGCGGUAGAGCCUUUACUUUGAGAAAAUUAGAGUGUUUCAAGCAAGCAUCGCUUUGAAUACUACAGCAUGGAAUAAUACAAUAGGACUUUAGGCCUAUUUGUUGGUUUCAGGCCUGAAGUAAUGAUUAAUAGGGACAGUUGGGGGCAUUCGUAUUGGAGAGUCAGCGGUGAAAUGCGAUGAUUUCUUCAAGACGAACUACUGCGAAAGCAUUUGCCAAAGAUGUUUUCA
RNAcentral lists this ribosomal RNA (357 nucleotides) under uncultured eukaryote. Its description in RNAcentral is "partial small subunit ribosomal RNA". It matches the Rfam family "Eukaryotic small subunit ribosomal RNA", at positions 587 to 972 of the family's 1831-position model. The record is from RNAcentral.